Molecule: ribosomal RNA, 396 nt
Filed under: uncultured bacterium
Lineage: Bacteria
Description: partial 16S ribosomal RNA
Rfam family: Bacterial small subunit ribosomal RNA
Source: RNAcentral
AUACGUAGGUGGCAAGCGUUGUCCGGAUUUACUGGGUGUAAAGGGCGUGUAGCCGGGAAGGCAAGUCAGAUGUGAAAUCUGGAGGCUCAACCUCCAAACUGCAUUUGAAACUGCUUUUCUUGAGUACCGGAGAGGUAAUCGGAAUUCCUUGUGUAGCGGUGAAAUGCGUAGAUAUAAGGAAGAACACCAGUGGCGAAGGCGGGUUCAGGGACGACAAUGGAACGUGAGUCGCGAAAGCUGGGGGAGCAAACAGCAUUAGCAACCCGGGUGGCCCGCGCGGUAAAGGAUCAAUCCUAGGUGUGCGGGGAAAGCGCCUCUGCGUGCCGCAGGUAAAACAAUAAGUAAUGCCCCUGGGGAGUACGGUCUCAAGGUUGAAACUGAAAGGAGUUGGCUGGG